Small nuclear RNA from Artibeus jamaicensis (Jamaican fruit-eating bat), 103 nucleotides. The record is from RefSeq and is a predicted model, not a curated record. Lineage: Eukaryota; Metazoa; Chordata; Mammalia; Chiroptera; Phyllostomidae.
UGCUUGCUUUGGCAGCACGUAACUAAAAUUGGAAUGACAGAGAAGAUUAGCAUGGACCUUGCACAAGGAUGAUACAGAAACUUAUGAAAAGAAAAAAAAUAGA